This 440-nucleotide ribosomal RNA is filed under the name uncultured bacterium. RNAcentral describes it as "partial 16S ribosomal RNA". It matches the Rfam family "Bacterial small subunit ribosomal RNA", at positions 338 to 795 of the family's 1533-position model. The record is from RNAcentral.
CCUACGGGUGGCAGCAGUGGGGAAUAUUGCACAAUGGGGGAAACCCUGAUGCAGCGACGCCGCGUGAGUGAAGACGUACCUCGGUAUGUAAAGCUUCAUCAGUAGGGAAGAAAAUGACGGUACCUGAGUAAGAAGCCCCGGCUAACUACGUGCCAGCAGCCGAGGUAAUACGUAGGGGGCCAGCGUUAUCCGGAUUUACUGGGUGUAAAGGGAGCGUAGACGGCAGUGCAAGUCUGGAGUGAAAGGCGGGGGCUCAACCCCCGGACUGCUCUGGAAACUGUACGGCUGGAGUGCAGGAGAGGUAAGUGGAAUUCGUAGUGUAGCGGUGAAAUGCGUAGAUAUUAGGAGGAACACCAGUGGCGAAGGCGGCUUACUGGACUGUAACUGACGUUGAGGCUCGAAAGCGUGGGGAGCAAACAGGAUUAGAUACCCGAGUAGUC